Molecule: transfer RNA, 72 nt
Filed under: Phrynosoma platyrhinos (Desert horned lizard)
Lineage: Eukaryota; Metazoa; Chordata; Lepidosauria; Squamata; Phrynosomatidae
Description: tRNA-OTHER
Source: RNAcentral
GCCAGCGUGGUGCAGUGGUUUGGACAUUGAACUAGGACUCUGGAGACCAGGGUUCGAAUCCCCACUCAGCCA